RNAcentral lists this ribosomal RNA (404 nucleotides) under uncultured Selenomonas sp. Its description in RNAcentral is "bacterial SSU rRNA". It matches the Rfam family "Bacterial small subunit ribosomal RNA", at positions 338 to 733 of the family's 1533-position model. The record is from RNAcentral. Lineage: Bacteria; Bacillati; Bacillota; Negativicutes; Selenomonadales; Selenomonadaceae.
CCUACGGGGGGCAGCAGUAGGGAAUCUUCGGCAAUGGGGGCAACCCUGACCGAGCAACGCCGCGUGAGUGAAGAAGGUUUUCGGAUCGUAAAGCUCUGUUGUAAGAGAAGAACGAGUGUGAGAGUGGAAAGUUCACGCUGUGACGGUAUCUUACCAGAAAGGGACGGCUAACUACGUGCCAGCAGCCGCGGUAAUACGUAGGUCCCGAGCGUUAUCCGGAUUUAUUGGGCGUAAAGCGAGCGCAGGCGGUCAAUUAAGUCUGAUGUGAAAGCCCCCGGCUCAACCGGGGAGGGUCAUUGGAAACUGGUUGACUUGAGUGCAGAAGAGGAGAGUGGAAUUCCAUGUGUAGCGGUGAAAUGCGUAGAUAUAUGGAGGAACACCGGUGGCGAAAGCGGCUCUCUGGC